This 3518-nucleotide long non-coding RNA is filed under the name Homo sapiens (human). RNAcentral's name for it is "non-protein coding lnc-ARL14EP-3:4". The record is from RNAcentral. Lineage: Eukaryota; Metazoa; Chordata; Mammalia; Primates; Hominidae.
AGCUCUUGUACCAGGGAAAUGAAGAUUUGAUCCUGCACUGCUCUUAAGACACUCAGGAAUCUCUCCGUUACCUCAGAGAAUCUGGCCACAAACAGGACUCAGAGUGGAAAUUGCCCAACCUGUCUGCUAUCACUCUCUUGAAAGAGACAGAUCCGAUCAGCAUCUCUCAACUGUGACUCAUGAGGUAUUUUUGGCUAUGUCAAGAACAUUCUCAAACAAGGGCAGCAAAGGACCAUAAGCAAUUCUCCAAUGGUGAAGAUCGACCCCAGUCAUGUAAAAACACAACAAGUCCUCCCAUUCUGACAGGGCCAUCAAUUACAAAGACAUGACUUGUUAACAUCAGAGAUGGGCACAUGACCAACUGACCAACCAGAAAACCUCAUCCCCUGGGAGAUGGAGGCAACACAUUUCACUUUUGCUUAAGAAGGAUCUUGCAGAAAGUGAAGAAGAGCAGGAAUAGAGAAGACAUUUGAAUGACGACUGAUGUUCUCUUCUUUGGCCUGAGGUUUUAGAACACAUUCACUGCCUGAUCACUGUGGCCCAGAAGCCAUGGCCUCUGCUGAGAGAUAGGGACCCCAUGUUCCCUCUACACAUCUUCUUCCCCAAAGCCUCUCUGAGGCUCCUAUGUUCAAAGAAACAGUCCUCUGGCAAUGGCCUGGUCCUUUCUGCCAUACCAAAGAAAGUUGUUUUUUGUUUUGAGCAAGAGAUCACUUCUGAUUUUCCUACCUUUGACAUGGACCAGACUAAUUGACAAAUUCUAGAAGGACAGACACUUCCAAACGUCUCUUGACAUACUGGCUUCACAAAGGUUAGGAAAGCUGUUAUGGGGAGGACGGAGCCUUUCUCCUCUUCCUGAGAACGUUUGAAGAAGAAAGGGGCUACUGAGAAGUCUGGUAGAUUCAGCAGCUAGUAAAUAUCGUGUCUAAAUGGGCAUCUUUUAUUAAACUCUGAGGCAGGGUUGGUGUGUUAGGCCAUUCUUUCUUGCUAUAAAGAAAUAUCUGAGACUGGGUAACUUAUAAAGAACAGAGGUUUAAUUGGCUCAUGGUUCUGCAGGCUGCACAGAAAGCAUAAUGACAUCUUCUUCUGGCUAGGCCUCUGGAAGCUUCCAAUGAUGGUGGAAGGCGAAGAGGGAACUUGCGCAUCACAUGGCAAAAGCAGGAGCAAGAGAGAGGCGAGGAGGUGCCGCACACUUUUAAAAGACCAGAUCUCAUGAAAACUCACUAUUGUGAGGACAGCACCAAGAGGAUCGUGCUAAAUUAUUCAAGAGAAAUCCUCCCCCAUGAUCCAGUCACCUCCCACCAGGCCCCACCUCCAACAUUGGGGAUUACAUUUCAACAUGAGAUUUGGAUGGAAACACAUUCAAGCUUUAUCAGGUCUAGAGGGCAGCGUCAGGGAAGCCAGAGAUUCCAAGCACAAGAAAGAUUUGAUGCAGCCUUGGUGACUUGGAGAUGGAAGGGGCCAUGAGGCAAGGAAUGUAGACAACUGUAAGUGUUGAAAGUGGACCUCAGCUGGCAGCCAGUAAGAAAAGAGGAACCUUCAGGCUACAACCUCAAGGGACAGAAUUCAGCCAACAUCCAGAGUAAGUUUAGAAAUGGACUUUUCCUCGGCGCCUCCAAAUAAGAGUCCAUUCUGACCUCUGCAUUGAUUUUAGGCUUAUAAGAUUAAGCAGGUGAUCCAGCCACACGGUUCUGGUCUUCUGAGCUCCCGGAGAAAUGCAUGUUGUUUGAAGCUGCUAAGUUUGUGGCAAUAUGUUACUCAGCAACAGAAAACUAAUAUACUUGGAAUAGAAUAUUCACUGUGAAUGAAGGAAGUUUUGAGCUCUAUAAAAAUGGAAAACUUUUAUCUUACUCUCACUUCCAACUAAUUUCCCAGAUGCAUUAUCACUUCAGAACAUUCUGCAGGGUAUUGGCGAUGAUUUUUCUUCUUUAUAGAGAUCCAGUAUUAAGUUAGAGAAUAAAUAGUGGUAAUAAUAAUAAUUAAUAAUAAUAUAGAUAACAUUUUGAGCGUGUUUAUCAUGUGCUAGCAUUUUGCUAAACACUUUAUCUGCAUUCUCUCAUAUAAUUCCCACAAUGGUCAUUUUAAGACAGAGAUUAUUACUAUUUUCAUUUUGUGUUUUCGGAAUUAGAGAAUUGCAGACAUGUAUAAAUCUUCAUAUAUAAACCUGUGAUAUUGUGGUAUAAUGGGAAAUAUAUAUUUUGUUUCUGCUCCUGGUUCCUGGCACAAAGCUACUAAAACCCUUGUAGUUUCCUGACUAAUAGGGGUGCUAGGUAUAUCUUUGGUUCUGAUAUUGGGUCUUUGAUUCCAGUUCCUGACAUGGUGCUCAUAAUCCCUUAGAAUUUUCUGGGUGAUACAUGUGUCUUUUUUUCUAAGGAAGUGACUCUUGAUGGGCUACUGGAUUGGAGCUUGUCACCAGAAAGACCAAGCCAUGAUUAGAAGCUUGGAACUUUCAGCCUCAGCCCCUAUCCUCCAGGAAGCAGAGAGGGGCUGGAGAUUGUUAAUAAUCAAUCUUGCCUAUGUGAUGAAGCUUCCAUAAAAAUCCCUGAAUUCUGGGGUUCAGAGAGAUGCAAGGUUGCUGAACAUGUGGAGAUGCUAGGAGGGUGGUGCCCUGGAAAGAGCAUGGAGGUUCAAGAGCCCCUUUCCCCAUACCUUGCCCUGUGUAUCUCACCCCCUCUGGCUGUUAAUCUGUAUCCUUAGUAAUAUUCUUUAUGAUAAAAUGGCAAGUGUAAAUAAAGUGUUUCCCUGAAUCCUAUGAGCCACUCCAGCUAAUUAAGCAAACCUGAGGGGGUUCUAGAAAACACCAAUUUAUAGCCCAUCAGUCAGAAGUUCUAGAGGCCCAUACUUGUGAUUAGCAUCUGGAGCGAGGGGCAGUCUUGCGGUGCUGAGUCCUCACCUUGUGAGAUCUGACUCCAACUCCAGGUAGGUAUUGUCAGAAUCGAGUUAAAUUGUAGGACACCCCAUUAGUGUCCACUGGAGAACUGCUUGCAGUGUAAGGGGAAAAUCCCACAAAUCUGGUGUCAACAGUCUUGUAAUGUUUUGUUGAGAAUAUAAUAGAAGAUGCUUAGUUCAUCUGUUUGUUUGUUUACUAUCAUACAGAACCAAAAUCCAGGUCUGUCUGAUCUUAAACCCAUUUGCCUGGUGGAAAGUUAUGGAUGGUGCUCAGAGUUCACUGUUCUCUUUCUGUUUCAUAUGCUCAGGUGUGUUGCUAAACAUGAGAUGCUGGGAAACUGAAAGGAAUACGUAAGAAAGAUGGCAACAAUUAAAAAAUGCAGAAUGAGGUUGAUCUAAAAUAAAAGUUGACAACCAAUGAAAUGGAGUCCUUAAAAUUCAUUUUUCAUAGAAGAACAGAUAACGGAAUUACAUACUUAAGAUAAAUAAUUGCCUGGGCUUGGUUUACUGAGAUUUUUUAACUGUGUUUUAUAUUUGUGAUUUAAAAAACUAUCAGGGAAGCUUAUCUGCAAUGUGUUAAGAGCCAACUACAUAAAUAGAAAUCAUAGACUCCAUCAAGAGGGACAAAAAUC